GGCUGCCUCCACUAAUAACUGCGGCUCCAUCGGAGGAGAGGAAAUGGAAGCCACCCUCAGUCUCAGGAACUAGCCGCAAAAAAAGUUAAAAAGUCGCAGAGGCAACCGCUGUGAGGUGGAGAUCCCUGGGACCAUGGCUGCAGGGAAGCCGUACUGCCAGGAAACGGGGGACCAGAGAAGCAGUGCUGAGUAAGCCGGGCAUCUGAGCAAAUACCCCUGGCCUGCCCCAGACACUUGGAGAUCCAUCACGUUCAGGGGAAGGCCCCAUGGUGGAGGGACGAGGAGGAUAUGCCUUGCUGCGGAUGGAAAAGUCGCAUCAGAACUUAAUGGGGAAUCUUCGCAGCUAUUUCCUCUCUCCAGGGUUUCCCAUGGAAGAGGGAGUGUCUGGCCCAGGACAUGGUUAUUAAUAGCAUCCCCAGCUUUACCCCUCUCUUAUUUGAAGGUCAAACAAAGUCAGUAUAAAACAAGAAAUGAAAAAAAAUCUCACUGCCAGGCUGUCAGCCUAGGGUUGUCUUGCAUGAACCAGCAGCUCUAGCAAAUCAAGGCCAUUCUACAAGUAAUAAAGUAUUGUUGUGUGUAAAUCCA
Long non-coding RNA from Emys orbicularis (European pond turtle), 585 nucleotides. RefSeq lists it as uncharacterized. Lineage: Eukaryota; Metazoa; Chordata; Testudines; Emydidae. The transcript is spliced from 2 exons. The record is from RefSeq and is a predicted model, not a curated record.